UUGUAGUCUGCAACUCGACUACAUGAAGCUGGAAUCGCUAGUAAUCGCGGAUCAGAAUGCCGCGGUGAAUACGUUCCCGGGUCUUGUACACACCGCCCGUCACACCAUGGGAGUCGGAAACGCCCGAAGUCUGUGACCGAACCGAAAGGAAGGAGCAGCCGAAGGCAGGUCGGAUGACUGGGGUGAAGUCGUAACAAGGUACC
RNAcentral lists this ribosomal RNA (203 nucleotides) under uncultured bacterium. RNAcentral describes it as "partial 16S ribosomal RNA". It matches the Rfam family "Bacterial small subunit ribosomal RNA", at positions 1298 to 1500 of the family's 1533-position model. The record is from RNAcentral.